AUUGAACGCUGGCGGCAUGCCUUACACAUGCAAGUCGAACGGCAGCACGGGUGCUUGCACCUGGUGGCGAGUGGCGAACGGGUGAGUAAUAUAUCGGAACGUACCUUAUUGUGGGGGAUAACGCAGCGAAAGCUGUGCUAAUACCGCAUAAUCCCUUAGGGGGAAAGCGGGGGACCGUAAGGCCUCGCGCAAUUAGAGCGGCCGAUACCUGAUUAGCUAGUUGGUGAGGUAAAGGCUCACCAAGGCAACGAUCAGUAGCUGGUCUGAGAGGACGAUCAGCCACACUGGGACUGAGACACGGCCCAGACUCCUACGGGAGGCAGCAGUGGGGAAUUUUGGACAAUGGGGGCAACCCUGAUCCAGCAAUGCCGCGUGAGUGAAGAAGGCCUUCGGGUUGUAAAGCUCUUUUGUCAGGGAAGAAACAGCAGCUCUAACACAGU
Molecule: ribosomal RNA, 440 nt
Filed under: Polynucleobacter sp. Fw70s-67
Lineage: Bacteria; Pseudomonadati; Pseudomonadota; Betaproteobacteria; Burkholderiales; Burkholderiaceae
Description: bacterial SSU rRNA
Rfam family: Bacterial small subunit ribosomal RNA
Source: RNAcentral